This 465-nucleotide ribosomal RNA is filed under the name Vreelandella stevensii. RNAcentral describes it as "partial 16S ribosomal RNA". It matches the Rfam family "Bacterial small subunit ribosomal RNA", at positions 338 to 795 of the family's 1533-position model. The record is from RNAcentral. Lineage: Bacteria; Pseudomonadati; Pseudomonadota; Gammaproteobacteria; Oceanospirillales; Halomonadaceae.
CCUACGGGGGGCUGCAGUGGGGAAUAUUGGACAAUGGGGGCAACCCUGAUCCAGCCAUGCCGCGUGUGUGAAGAAGGCCCUCGGGUUGUAAAGCACUUUCAGUGAGGAAGAACGCCUGGUGGUUAAUACCCAUCAGGAAAGACAUCACUCACAGAAGAAGCACCGGCUAACUACGUGCCAGCAGCCGCGGUAAUACGGAGGGUGCGAGCGUUAAUCGGAAUUACUGGGCGUAAAGCGCGCGUAGGUGGCUUGAUAAGCCGGUUGUGAAAGCCCCGGGCUCAACCUGGGAACGGCAUCCGGAACUGUCAAGCUAGAGUGCAGGAGAGGAAGGUAGAAUUCCCGGUGUAGCGGUGAAAUGCGUAGAGAUCGGGAGGAAUACCAGUGGCGAAGGCGGCCUUCUGGACUGACACUGACACUGAGGUGCGAAAGCGUGGGUAGCAAACAGGAUUAGAUACCCUUGUAGUC